GACGAACGCUGGCGGCGUGCCUAACACAUGCAAGUCGAACGAGGUCCAUGCAGUGGCAACACUGCGGAAGACCUAGUGGCGAACGGGUGAGUAACACGUGAGGAACCUGCCCCGAAGACCGGGAUAACCCUCCGAAAGGAGAGCUAAUACCGGAUACCCCCACCUGGUCGCAUGGCCGGGUGAGGAAAUGGAUUCCGCUUCGGGAGGGCCUCGCGGCCUAUCAGCUAGUUGGUGAGGUAACGGCUCACCAAGGCAUCGACGGGUAGCUGGUCUGAGAGGACGAUCAGCCACACUGGGACUGAGACACGGCCCAGACUCCUACGGGAGGCAGCAGUGGGGAAUCUUGCGCAAUGGGCGAAAGCCUGACGCAGCAACGCCGCGUGGGGGAUGAAGGCUCUCGGGUUGUAAACCCCUUUCAGCAGGGACGAAAUUGACGGUACCUGCAGAAGAAGCCCCGGCUAACUAC
RNAcentral lists this ribosomal RNA (466 nucleotides) under uncultured Actinomycetes bacterium. Its description in RNAcentral is "bacterial SSU rRNA". It matches the Rfam family "Bacterial small subunit ribosomal RNA", at positions 28 to 504 of the family's 1533-position model. Lineage: Bacteria; Bacillati; Actinomycetota; Actinomycetes. The record is from RNAcentral.